RNAcentral lists this ribosomal RNA (377 nucleotides) under uncultured bacterium. Its description in RNAcentral is "bacterial SSU rRNA". It matches the Rfam family "Bacterial small subunit ribosomal RNA", at positions 28 to 404 of the family's 1533-position model. The record is from RNAcentral.
GACGAACGCUGGCGGCGUGCUUAACACAUGCAAGUCGAGCGGUAAGGCCCUUUCGGGGGUACACGAGCGGCGAACGGGUGAGUAACACGUGGGUGACCUGCCCUCAGCUCUGGGAUAAGCCUGGGAAACCGGGUCUAAUACUGGAUAUGACUCCAUGACGCAUGUUGUGGGGUGGAAAGCCUUGUGCGGCUGAGGAUGGGCCCGCGGCCUAUCAGCUUGUUGGUGGGGUGANGGCCUACCAAGGCGACGACGGGUAGCCGGCCUGAGAGGGCGACCGGCCACACUGGGACUGAGACACGGGCCCAGACUCCUACGGGGAGGCAGCAGUGGGGAAUCUUGCGCAAUGGGCGAAAGCCUGACGCAGCGACGCCGCGUGA